ACCAGAACUGCUUUAUCCCCUGACAGACGUCGGUGGAGUUUCCCUCCCGACUCCAGUUGAGCCCGAAGAGCACUUUCUGUUCCCCUUUUGACUAUUUGCCUUGUUUGUUUUUUUCUUUUUCCCUUCCCAGGUCGUAUGGGAAAUACAAUCAUUGGCUACAAAUCAAACUGCUGUGCUUGUGCAUUUGGGUCGACCUACUACUCCCCCUAACAUGGACGUAACGGAUCGGAGGAGAACACACAGAGAAUGAGGAAGGACACCAGGAGAACAGAACGCACUGUAGAGCAAACGCUCAUAUUUAUUUUACCCACACUGUCACACAGCGCUCCUUCCUCUGCUCCUGAC
Gasterosteus aculeatus aculeatus (three-spined stickleback) is the source of this 345-nucleotide long non-coding RNA. Lineage: Eukaryota; Metazoa; Chordata; Actinopteri; Perciformes; Gasterosteidae. The record is from Ensembl.